Long non-coding RNA from Equus quagga, 731 nucleotides. RefSeq lists it as uncharacterized. The transcript has 3 exons. The record is from RefSeq and is a predicted model, not a curated record. NCBI's taxonomy places the organism in Eukaryota, Metazoa, Chordata, Mammalia, Perissodactyla, Equidae.
GUAUAGAAAGAGAAGACUACUGCACAGCAACUGGUGUUCGUGUAUUCAUUUCGUCGGCAACAAGAAGUAACUCAGCCCAGGUAGCCGAGUUGGAAAGCCUGGGGUUGGCCUCUACUCUGCCCAGCAAGAGCUGUGUGAGCCUGGUGAUGCUUCCGAAACUGGCUGCUCCCUUCUCCGGGCCCUGGGAGGGAAGACAACAGCAGACAACUGCACCUGACCCAUGAUGGACGUGCAGUGUGAGCAAGCAGUGAACUCUGUUGCUGUAAACCACUGAGAUCUGGGGGCUGUUUGUUACUGCAGUGUAACCUGGACCAUCCUGGCUCAUCAAGCAAAGCCCCUGGAAAUAAUGGUACUAUUUGCAGAGCACCAUGAAAGGUGCAUAGCUUUAAUUUCUUAUAUAAACUAGAAUUCUUGUUAGCAAUAAUGAGUAUCACUUAUGAGCGCUCACUAUGACUCAGGCAUCAUACUAGUUUCUUUGGCAAAUGUUUCCCCAUCUAUUCCACCACGGCUGCGUGAAUUCGUUAUCACUGGCCUGUUGAGUAUCUUUUGUCUUGUCACAGAGGUCAAGGGACAGAGGCUGAGGGAACCUGAAGGUCAAGACCAUAGCUAGUAAGUGGUGGAAAUGAGAGUCAAGCGCAGGGUGUCUUGCCCCCAAACCCUCGCUCUUGCCACCACUAAGCUGCUAUUAUAUAUGAAACAUGACUAGGCCUAUCAAGGAAAAACCCCAUGCA